UGAGAAGACUGAACAGUCGCGUACAAGCAAUUGUAUGAGGAAAGUCCGAGCAUCAUAGGGCAGGAUAACGGCUAACGGCCGCCGAGGGUGACCUCCGGGACAGUGCAACAGAAAUAUACCGCCUAGCAAUAGGUAAGGGUGGAAAGGCGAGGUAAGAGCUCACCGGCGCACAGGAGACUGUGUGGCCCUGCAAACCCUAUCCGAUGCAACGUCAACUAGGACGAUACACCGGCCCGGUGUGUCCUGAAAGACGGCUAGAGCUGCUUGGCAACAAGUAGUCGAGAUAGAUGACUGUUUUUAACAGAACUCGGCUUAUAGGUUUUCUCAUAAA
RNAcentral lists this RNase P RNA (331 nucleotides) under Clostridia bacterium. RNAcentral's name for it is "RNase P RNA component class A". It matches the Rfam family "Bacterial RNase P class A". From Rfam's summary of the family: Ribonuclease P (RNase P) is a ubiquitous endoribonuclease, found in archaea, bacteria and eukarya as well as chloroplasts and mitochondria. Its best characterised activity is the generation of mature 5'-ends of tRNAs by cleaving the 5'-leader elements of precursor-tRNAs. Cellular RNase Ps are ribonucleoproteins. Lineage: Bacteria; Bacillati; Bacillota; Clostridia. The record is from RNAcentral.